AUGGAUCUGAUCUCAUUGCCCGUCAUGAUGAUGGCAACCAUAUGGACUUCGAAGCUGGUGGUAGGCCAUGAUCCUAUGAGGAGACAAGUGAAAGGGGGUCAAUAUUGGAAAAGGCCUGGAAAGGAUCAGUCGACGUCGGGGGGGGGGGGCAAGCUGCCGCUUGUCAUUCCAGAAGGGAGGUUAAGGCCGGAGACACCUCUUCUUGCUGCAAAGUUUGCCACCGAAUGCAAUGUCACAGUCAGAGGCCAUGUGCCUGUGUUUAAACGCUGGAAGGAUUACAAGGACCCAGGCGGAAAUGUCCGAGAAGGGAUCUUCCAGAACUUUGUAGGCAAAGUUGGUAACAAAUUUGAGAUGGACGUAAAAGGUGUGCCCGUUAGGAAGGCUUGUACGCAAAUGUUGAAAGCCAAUACAUGUCUUUUGCACUUAAUGGGAGACAAAUACAAGGAGAAAGAACCCACUACACUGGAUUUAUUCAAAGAGUGCCACUACAGCAGCAAAAAGAAAGGCUACACCGAUGAUGUGCAAGCUGCAAUUGAUGAAAUGGAAGAGAAAGCUACUCAACCUACAAAAGAUGGCCAACAAUCCAACUCUGCAACCAAGGCUGUGGCUGAAGUUCUUACUAAGCACACUAAGAAGCCAAUGUUUCUUAAGCAUGUGGGGGUCCAGCACGUGCAUGAGAGAUCCAGUCAUAGCGACCGUGAGGCAGAACAGGAAGCGCAGAAGAGGGGAAAUGCUGAGCUUCGGGCCCUUGUUGAAACCUUGAACAAUAAGUUACAGGAAUCAGAAGAAGCAAGGAUCAGGCAAGAAGAAGAAAGGACCAAGCAAGAAGAGGAGAACAGGAAAAAGCAAGCUGAGCUGGAAGCUAAAUUAGACUUUUCACUAAAUCUAAUUCAUCCAAGAUAA
RNAcentral lists this ribosomal RNA (903 nucleotides) under Triticum aestivum (bread wheat). RNAcentral's name for it is "partial small subunit ribosomal RNA". Lineage: Eukaryota; Viridiplantae; Streptophyta; Magnoliopsida; Poales; Poaceae. The record is from RNAcentral.